This 253-nucleotide ribosomal RNA is filed under the name uncultured bacterium. Its description in RNAcentral is "partial 16S ribosomal RNA". It matches the Rfam family "Bacterial small subunit ribosomal RNA", at positions 524 to 776 of the family's 1533-position model. The record is from RNAcentral.
GACGUAGGGCGCGAGCGUUGUCCGGAUUUAUUGGGCGUAAAGGGCGCGUAGGCGGCGGGGUAAGUCGGGUGUGAAAUCUCAGGGCUCAACCCUGAAACUGCACUUGAUACUGCUCUGCUUGAGGACUGGAGAGGAGACUGGAAUUCACGGUGUAGCAGUGAAAUGCGUAGAUAUCGUGAGGAAGACCAGUGGCGAAGGCGGGUCUCUGGACAGUUCCUGACGCUGAGGCGCGAAGGCCAGGGGAGCAAACGGG